RNAcentral lists this ribosomal RNA (1635 nucleotides) under Triticum aestivum (bread wheat). RNAcentral describes it as "partial small subunit ribosomal RNA". The record is from RNAcentral. Lineage: Eukaryota; Viridiplantae; Streptophyta; Magnoliopsida; Poales; Poaceae.
AUGGCCGCCUCCGCGUCCGCCUCCACGUCCCUCUUCGGGCCGUCUGCCCUCACCGCCAGGCUCGGGGCGGGGCGCCCGUCCGGCGGGCCCCGGCGGCGCGUCGACGCGCGCGGCCGCGGCCGCCUCUCGGUGGUGGCCGUGCAGACGGGCCCGCAGAAGCCGUCGCCGUCGCCGUCGCCGUCGUCCCCGGCGGCGGACGAGGCGGAGGCGCUGCAGAACCUGCUCAAGCGGGAGUACAAGUACGGCUUCGUCUCCGACUUCGAGUCCUUCUCCAUCCCCAAGGGCCUCUCCGAGGCCACCGUCCGCCGCAUCUCGGAGCUCAAGGCGGAGCCCGCCUGGAUGCUCGACUUCCGCCUCGCCGCCUACCGCCGCUUCCUCACCAUGGCGGAGCCCACCUGGAGCGACAACGUCUACUCGCCCGUCGACCUCCAGUCCCUGUGCUUCUACUCCGCGCCCAAGACCAAGCCCAAGCUCAACAGCCUCGACGAGGUCGACCCCGAGCUGCUCAAGACCUUCGACCGCCUCGGGAUCCCUCUCGGCGAGCAGAAGCGCCUCUCCAACGUCGCCGUCGACGCCGUCAUCGACUCCACCUCCAUCGCCACCACCCACAGGGAGGCGCUCAUGGCCAAGGGCGUCAUAUUUUGCUCCAUCUCCGAGGCCAUCCGUGAGUACCCGGACCUCAUCAAGCGCUACAUCGGGAGUAUUGUGCCGCCUGGUGACAAUUACUAUGCCGCGCUCAAUUCAGCCGUGUUCAGUGACGGAUCCUUCUGCUAUGUGCCCAAGGACACGGUCUGCCCCAUGGAGAUAUCUACUUACUUCAGAAUCAAUGACAAGGAGACCGGGCAGUUUGAGAGGACUCUGAUUGUGGCUGAUGAGAGGAGCACGGUUAGCUAUUUGGAAGGUUGUACUGCUCCAGCAUAUGACUCCAACCAGCUCCACGCCGCGGUGGUGGAGCUUGUGUGCGAAGAGGGGGCCGAGAUUAAGUACUCCACCGUGCAGAAUUGGUAUGCUGGCGAUGAGGAGGGCAAAGGGGGCAUUUACAAUUUUGUGACCAAGAGGGGGCGGUGCAAGGGGCGUGGCUCGAAAAUCUCAUGGACACAGGUUGAGACAGGGUCAGCAAUCACCUGGAAGUACCCAAGUGUGGAGCUUGUUGGGGACGACACUGUUGGAGAGUUCUACUCCGUAGCGCUGACCAAGGAUUACCAGCAGGCCGAUACAGGGACGAAGAUGAUCCAUAAGGGGAAGAAUUCACGCAGCCGGAUUAUAUCCAAGGGCAUCUCAGCAGGGAAGUCAAGGAAUUGCUACCGUGGGUUGGUCCAGAUGAAUUCAGGUGCAGAGAAUGCUUAUAAUUCUUCGCAGUGUGAUUCAUUGCUGAUUGGGGACAACGCUGCUGCUAACACCUAUCCCACCAUUCAGGUGGGUUGCACUAGUGGCCGUGUUGAGCAUGAGGCAAGCACAUCCAAAAUUGGCGAGGAUCAGCUAUUCUACUUUCAGCAAAGAGGGAUAGAUCAUGAAAAGGCCGUUGCAGCCAUGAUCGGUGGGUUCUGUAGGGCUGUCUUUGAACACCUUCCUUACGAGUUUGCCCAGGAGGUGGAUGCACUUAUGAACCUGAAGCUGGAGGGAUCAGUUGGCUAA